UAUUAUUCUAUUGAACAGCAAAGUUGGUGGAAUGAUCAAUUGUUUUCUAAAAUAUUUUUUUAUGAUAAAUAAGUCAAUAGAGACAGAUAGAUAACAAAAAUCAUCUAAUAAAACAAAAAAAUAAAUUAUGAUCAAUAAUAUAAAAUAUGAAAAAUGUUCACUUUCUGAAGAUGAUGAUCAAAUACUUACGAAAAAGCAAAAACAGAAAUCCGAAUUGUUGAAAAGCAGAAACAGCGUAAACAUGAACGAUAGAGUAAUGCACUAUUUAAUAACUAAAAAUAAUGAACACUUGAGUAGUACAGGUGUAUCAGGGAAAGUUCCGGUAUUAUUAUUAUUUCCAUUAACGAUUUUGAUUUUUUUACUUCUUAUGAUAUAUUUAUAAGUUUUCUAUUAUAAAAUGUAAUUAUUACCUACUUAUUUUAUUUAUCAUCAUUAUCUAUUCAUGUAACCCUUAGAUUUCUGUAAAUAUUAAAUUUAUGAUUUAUUUAAUUUUAUAUUAUAUUAUAAUGAAUUGAUAUGUAUUUUUUAAUUUUACCAAUUUCAUUGUAUCAA
This is a long non-coding RNA of Rhopalosiphum maidis (corn leaf aphid), 552 nucleotides long. RefSeq lists it as uncharacterized. The transcript is spliced from 3 exons. The record is from RefSeq and is a predicted model, not a curated record. NCBI's taxonomy places the organism in Eukaryota, Metazoa, Arthropoda, Insecta, Hemiptera, Aphididae.